GCCGGAGUGGUGGAAUUGGUAGACACGCUAUCUUGAGGGGGUAGUGACCGUANGGUCGUGCCGGUUCAAGUCCGGCCUUCGGCACCA
Molecule: transfer RNA, 87 nt
Filed under: Pseudomonadales bacterium
Lineage: Bacteria; Pseudomonadati; Pseudomonadota; Gammaproteobacteria; Pseudomonadales
Description: tRNA-Leu
Rfam family: tRNA
About the family: Transfer RNA (tRNA) molecules are approximately 80 nucleotides in length. Their secondary structure includes four short double-helical elements and three loops (D, anti-codon, and T loops).
Source: RNAcentral